ACGAAGAGCAGCCGUGUGCUCCAAAAACCCCGACACAGAACACGAGAAAGAAUACUUUAAAGUUAAACUACUUACUAAAGGGCACCGUCAGGGGAAUACGAGAAGUUCGAUAGCAUGUCGCAGAGUGACAGUUGCAUGAUCUAACGAACCGAAUAUAGCUGAACGAUGUAAAACGUCAGAAGUAGUGGGGAGAACUACCUCGGAUACUGAGUUUUCUCCCCUCCAAAACCAAUUUGAGCGAAUCCCACACUCGCUCUUGCUUACUUCUGCACUCAGGUAACCUAUGUUACACAUGGAUCUCUCGCUAACCCGCCCAUCUAUAUUGGAAGAAGUGAGAGGGAUUGAAUAUACUGAUGAAGAGAUGUGUGUUAUACACACAUGUAUGAAUGCAUGUAUUUGAAAACGAUAGAGUGAGCGAGAGAAUAACAGAGAGAGAGAGAGAGAGAGAGAGAGAGAGAAGGGGAAGUCGCUAAUAUCUGGGGCUCCAGCGGCCGCGCAACUCGCGCCCUAAUCGAACUCUACAAGUCACUUAUUCUCCAUCCCCACUACCUACAUCCUGCCCCUCCUACAGUAGGCAACCCAUACUUGAGAGGUCUCCCUUUCGCUCACUCAUGCUUGCUCUUUUCACCAGAGAAGUAUUGAAGUACUACGUCCACUGUAUCCAAGAUCAAAUGGCACUUUGUGCACUACGAAAUUACAACUGCUUUGUGAUCUCAAUUAAUGUUUCAUACAGAACCUAACCUUGUAUCUCUAUUUCAUCAUCUUCAACAAAUCAAGUUGAAUCAAUUGUAACAUAAAAUAACACCAACAUAUGCACACAUGUGCUUUAUAAUUACAAUAAAAAUAG
Osmia bicornis bicornis is the source of this 847-nucleotide long non-coding RNA. RefSeq lists it as uncharacterized. The transcript has 2 exons. The record is from RefSeq and is a predicted model, not a curated record. NCBI's taxonomy places the organism in Eukaryota, Metazoa, Arthropoda, Insecta, Hymenoptera, Megachilidae.